ACAAGUUCAACGGCCGCGGUAUUUUGACCGUGCAAAGGUAGCGCAAUCACUUGUCUUUUAAAUAGAGACCUGUAUGAAUGGCUAAACGAGGGCUUAACUGUCUCCCUUUUCAGGUCAGUGAAAUUGAUCUACCCGUGCAGAAGCGGGUAUAACAAUACAAGACGAGAAGACCCUUUGGAGCUUAAGGUACAAAACUCAACCACGUCAAGCAACUUAAUAAAAAGUAAAAACUUUGUGAAACAUGAGAUUUUACCUUCGGUUGGGGCGACCGCGGAGGAAAAAAAAGCCUCCAAGUGGACCGGGACAAACUCCUAAAACCAAGAGAAACAUCUCUAAGCCACAGAACAUCUGACCAAACAUGAUCCGGCCACUAGGGCCGAUCAACGAACCAAGUUACCCUAGGGAUAACAGCGCAAUCCCCUCCCAGAGUCCAUAUCGACGAGGGGGUUUACGACCUCGAUGUUGGAUCAGGACAUCCUAAUGGUGCAGCCGCUAUUAAGGGUUCGUUUGUUCAACGAUUAAAGUCCUACGUGAUC
RNAcentral lists this ribosomal RNA (536 nucleotides) under Tor tambroides (Thai mahseer). RNAcentral's name for it is "partial 16S ribosomal RNA". It matches the Rfam family "Bacterial large subunit ribosomal RNA", at positions 1918 to 2605 of the family's 2925-position model. The record is from RNAcentral. Lineage: Eukaryota; Metazoa; Chordata; Actinopteri; Cypriniformes; Cyprinidae.